UUCCGGUUGAUCCCGCCGGAGGCUACCGCUAUUGGAGUUCGAUUAAGCCAUGCGAGUCGAGAGUCUUAGGGACUCGGCGUACCGCUCAGUAACACGUGGGUAACCUGCCCUAUGCUGGGGAAUAACCUCGGGAAACUGAGAAUAAUGCCCCAUAGUUCACUACGCCUGGAACGGUGAGUGGAUGAAAGCUCCGGCGGCAUAGGAUGGGCCUGCGGCGUAUCAGGUCGUAGGGGGUGUAACGUACCCUCUAGCCAUCGACGCGUACGGGUGUUGGGAGACAUAGCCCGGAGAUGGAUUCUGAGACACGAAUCCAGACCCUACGGGGUGCAGCAGGCGCGAAAACUUGGCAAUGCGAGAAAUCGUGACCAGGGAACUCCAAGUGGCUGGGGUAAGACCCAGUCUUUUCUUGACUCUUCAAAGGUCUUGGAAUAAGAGGUGGGUAAGGACGGUGCCAGCCGCCGCGGUAAUACCGGCGCCUCAAGUGGUAGUCGAUUUUAUUGGGCCUAAAACGUCCGUAGCCUGUUUGGUACAUUCGUGGGUAAAUCAACCAGCUCAACUGGUUGAAUUCUGCGAGCACGGCCAGACUUGGGACCGGGAGAGGUGUGGGGUACGCUCAGGGUAGGGGUAAAAUCCUGUCAUCCUGAGCGGACCACCUGUUGCGAAGGCGCCACACUAGAACGGAUCCGACGGUCAGGGACGAAGCCUAGGGGCACGAACCGGAUUAGAUACCCGGGUAGUCCAGGGCGUAAACGCUGCUGACUUGGUGUUGGGGGUCCUGCGAGGGCGUCCAGUGCCGGCGCGAAGGCAUUUAGUCAGCCGCCUGGGGAGUACGGUCGCAAGACUGAAACUUAAAGGAAUUGGCGGGGGAGCACUGCAACGGGUGGAGCGUGCGGUUUAAUUGGAUUCAACGCCGG
This 914-nucleotide ribosomal RNA is filed under the name uncultured marine archaeon. RNAcentral's name for it is "bacterial SSU rRNA". It matches the Rfam family "Archaeal small subunit ribosomal RNA", at positions 1 to 921 of the family's 1478-position model. The record is from RNAcentral.